GUGUCAGCAGCCGCGGUAAUACGAAGGAUUCGAGCGUUAUCCGGAUUUAUUGGGUUUAAAGGGUGCGUAGGUGGACUAAUAAGUCAGUGGUGAAAGCCCGCAGCUUAACUGCGGAACUGCCAUUGAUACUGUUAGUCUUGAGUACAGUUGAGGUGGGCGGAAUGUGUCAUGUAGCGGUGAAAUGCUUAGAUAUGACACAGAACACCGAUUGCGAAGGCAGCUCACUAAGCUGUAACUGACACUGAGGCACGAAAGCGUGGGGAGCAAACAGGAUUAGAUACCCUGGUAGUCCACGCCCUAAACGAUGAUUACUCGAUGUUGGCGAUACACUGUCAGCGUCUAAGCGAAAGCAUUAAGUAAUCCACCUGGGGAGUACGACCGCAAGGUUGAA
This 391-nucleotide ribosomal RNA is filed under the name uncultured bacterium. RNAcentral's name for it is "bacterial SSU rRNA". It matches the Rfam family "Bacterial small subunit ribosomal RNA", at positions 505 to 898 of the family's 1533-position model. The record is from RNAcentral.